CGGGCAGGGUCAGUGCAGUCGCUGACCCUGUCGCUCCCCUGACGUACUCCGUAUACUGGGUGUAGGGAGAGACGCAGAAUUGAGCUCAGAGCCGGGAAAGCUGUCCUAGAAGGCCCGUGAGAACAGCUGGUACCUGCUUUAGCGUUAGCGUCGCUGGGGAUCCAACCCUGAUGGAAAAGUCACCUUCCUGCUCCAGAGGAAGAAACAUGUCAUUUUGGACCACUUUGAGCCACUGUGUGUUUCCACCAACUCGCCGUUUCCUCUGCCACGAGGCCAGCAUGCCACAGCUCACCCACCAUGGACAUGACACAAGGACCGUGGCACUGAGAAAAUGAAAUAAAAGGAAAAUCAUCUUUCCAUCAUUGCAUAGUCUCUCAAAGCAGCAAAUGUGAAGGAGCACACUGGAAAGCCACUUCAUUUUUACAGAGCCUAAGGAUCAUUUUUUUGAUUACUUGAAUUUCCAUGUCUAGUCGCUUUAUGAGCACACAGAUACUGGAAGCUUCCUGCCCUUGAGACGGUCGUUCCUUGCACAUGAAGCAUGGUGGUCAGAGGCUGUCACCAACUCAAACCACUGCCUGAGAGCAUCGCUGAGCGUCUCGGGAAGUGCAUUCAUAUCACGAAGAAUUAUAUAGAAGGGGAAUGGGAACUCUUCCAUGUAGGAUCGGAUUUCAGGCAUCUCUCCAGGUCCUUUAAAUAUUGGUACUUUAAUGUCCAAGAUAGAAUCCUGUUAACAGAAGACAUUUUGAAAUAAAAGCCAAAUCAGUGUCCUUGGCUAGCUCUUCCAUGACCUCUUUUGCUGACAUUUUUUGUCUAAUUCCUGCAUAUGAAAAUAGCUUUUAUUACUAAGUAAAACAAAAUUUUCGGGACUCUCGUUGAGGAGGAAGCAGAUCUCUAAGCACCCCUUCCAGGAGAAUAGGCACAAAAAGGGAGGGAAAGGGAUAUAAGAAAACUUGAUUUCUCCACAGUGGUGUCUUCCAUUCUCAACGUGGACUAAUUCACAUUAAAUCUUGCUAUCUAGGCCUUACCAUGACCUGUGGAGAUAAUGCUUCCCUUGGAACAGAACUGCCCCGUUUUCUUUCACUUGGCAACUGAUGCGUCCUGCUCUGACAGCACUGCUGAGAUACAAGUAACUGGGAAGGGCUUGACUACAUUUCCACGUGAACAGGACCCAUUGCUAAGAGUUGGCAUAGUGCCCCCCUCACUGGAUUAUUGCGAGGUUAAAUGAGAACAUACUUAUAAACUGCCUAAAACAAUGCCUGACAGAACAGAGUUUUGAGUAUGAUGGUGUGACCCAGGCCAUAUUUCAGACAGAGUAGACUGAAUGGCAUCCUUGCUUUAUCCUCAGAAAAGUGGCUUUGUCACUCACCCGUGAACUGGGAUUAUCCAACACAACAAAAAUGACAAAGAUCUUAGCAUUCUGAGCAGCCUGAACUGCUGCCAGGACUCUGUCUUUGCCCUCAAGGAAAAGGCCGCGUCCGUCAGAGACCACCAGGAGGAGUUGUGCAGUGUCUAUAGUAGGACAUACAGCAGGAGAGGGAGGAAACAGAAUGGAAAUCCAUUUUUAACAAAUCACGACUACUUAAAGACAAAUUAACAUAGGCUUUCUCUGUACUAUUAACAUCAAAGAGAUAUGAAACCGAUGAACUCUGGGCACAAAAGAGGCCUCUAAUUAGAUCUCUUACUUCGGAUGCCAGUGUCAGGGACAAGGCUGCACACACACCCGCACAAAGCUGCUGUCAACAAAACAGUUUCCCAGUAGUGUUUCAGGGAAUGUUGAAUUUAGAUCAGCUUCACUGUAGAGCAACAUAUAAGAGAACUAAAAUACACAUUUAUGGCUAUAAAAUAUUAAAAUGCAGUAGAGUAGAAGUACCCAAAUUUCAUAUACCUGACUUCUGUUUUUUCCUUGAAAUUGAUUUAAACAAAAAAAUAGAAGGGACCAGUAAAAUAAAUGAAUUAAAUUUUUUUUUUAAGUUAUAUAACGUUUCCAGCAAAAGAUUACAGCUGUUGAGGGCUAUCUUUUCUCUGUCAAGGAAGGUUAGCAAGUGUUGAGAGUCAUGAAAGACUUGUUUCAAACAGGUUUGUCCAUGAUACACUCAGAAUUGAGAUUUUUGUGAAAGAGCUAAAGAACAGGUGUUUCAAGCCUGAAAUCAAUCACGGCUAGAUUAGUUGGUUUCUGCAUUAUGUCCUCGUCUGCUUUCCUGUGUUAAUACUCUUCAUACUUAAUUCCACAUACUUUGCUCCUUCCUUUCACAAUACUAAACUCAAUAUCAGAUACGCAUAUCAUAGUUCAUUGCAAACUAGUGUCUAAUUCCUUGAUUAUAAGCCUCAAGAGUAUGGUUUCAAUAAAUUUCGAAUGAAUAAAAAAUUCCAUGAAUA
Molecule: long non-coding RNA, 2376 nt
Organism: Pteropus alecto (black flying fox)
Lineage: Eukaryota; Metazoa; Chordata; Mammalia; Chiroptera; Pteropodidae
Exons: 4
Source: RefSeq, a predicted model, not a curated record